RNAcentral lists this long non-coding RNA (2657 nucleotides) under Equus caballus (horse). RNAcentral's name for it is "lncRNA (ENSECAG00000049025.1)". The record is from RNAcentral. Lineage: Eukaryota; Metazoa; Chordata; Mammalia; Perissodactyla; Equidae.
GGCUAGCGCAACCCCAACCCUUGGGCCCCCGCCCAGGCAGGUCCCCCGCGGGCGUGGCACGACCCCCGCAGGGAGAUCAAGCAGCGCGAAGCUUUUCAGCGUCCUGGAGCCGCCUCUCAAACGUAACCCUACUCGGGCUCCCUGGGGCAAGGUUCCCGGGGUGGAGGGGACCUGAGAACGAGACCAGGGGUUUUAGGAUCCUGGGUCGCUGGGCAGGGCUGGCGUGACGGGGCGGCCCGGAGGCAGCUGAGCCCCCGGGCGCGGGGGACCACCGCGCGGGAGGCGGUCACGUCCUGCGCCGGCGGGCGGGGUGCGCAGGCACCGCAGUUAUUUCGGGACGCGCCGCGGUUCGCAGCACUUCCAGCCGCUCCACUUCCAGAGCUGUCCCAGGGCCCGGUUCUGGGGCGAAAAUGCCGGCCCUUCACAUCGAAGAUUUGCCAGAAAAGGAAAAGCUGAAGAUGGAAGUUGAGCAACUUCGCAAGGAGGUGAAGUUGCAGAGACAACAGUUAGAUAUUUUGAAGAAACUAUUCCAUCCUUUCUCCAUUGCAAAUAAAGUUUGAAGUGAUUACGUAAACACAAGAGUCCUAGACAAGCAUGGUCACCUUAGAUAACUCUUCUAUCAGGAUCAUUGUCCUCAAGCAACGGGAAGGAAUUCUGAGCAGAGACACAGAAUGAGACUGAGCAACUCCAGCUUUUCCAGAGUCAGACUUUCUCCAAUGCUUCUGUCAUUUUGUGAAAUGCAGAACCUGGCACUCACCCAUAAUAAAUGGGAAUUUUGGCAGGACACACUCCAAAACAUUUGGGAAUUUACUACUGCACCUGCUCAUUAGCAUGGAAGAUUGAAAGCAGGGUGUCUAAAUGUUCUGAAGAAAUAAAGAAUUACAUUGAAGAACGUUCUGGAGAGGAUCCUCUGGUGAAAGGAAUUCCAGAAGACAAGAAUCCCUUUAAAGAAAAAGGCAGCUGCGUUAUUUCAUAAAUAACUCUGGGGAGACGCUUCAUCCUCAGUGGAAGAACUAGCUUGUUUUAGUUUGCCAGAAUGAAACCGACAUGCCUUUUAAAGAGAAAAAAAAAAAAAGAAUGAAAUUUAAAGGAGACUUUCUUCAGCACUUAUAUAGAUAUGGUUCUGUAUACAAGCUAUGUGCUUCUCAUCUUUGCUCACUACACUCCCCUUUUAAGAGGGCAGAGAGUAUCAAAUGUGCAGUUAUGGAAAGAAGGACAUUACUUGUGCAUGACUCACCUCUUUCAGUAUAUUGCUUGAUGCCUCAAAUAAAGUUUUAUCUCUGAAAAAUGAGUGUUGAUGAUUUAAGACAGCAUUUAAUUUUUUUGGCCUUAAAUUUUAUAUUUUUCCCCAUAACCUUUCUGGUAUUUGGGACAUGUAUCAAAAGAUGAGGUGGUUUGAUAGAUCAGUUCCCCAAUCCAGCUCUCUCUGCUUCAAUUCUUAGGAGGUUUACAGUGCUGAGUUCUGACUUCUGGAAUGUGUCUGAUCUAACGUUAACUAUUAGGGAAUUGAGUGAAUAGAACUGAACGCUAACAGGAAUCAGAUUAUUUGAGUCAGGAACCAGGCCAAGCCAUGCCUACAUAAGCACUUCUGUGGUUUGUCAUCAUACAGAUCUUGUUCAAACUGUUGCCGCAACAGUGGCCUUAGGAUAGGGAGAGGGUUGGGGUCAAGAGGAGCACCCGGGCGCCAGCCCUGGAAUGUUCACCCUCAGGGAGCUGCACCUCCUACAGGCUCUGCAGGUCUUGGCAUGGCCACCCUCCAGCUCUGUGUCAUUGGAACAGAGACUUGGUUCUGCGUGGCUUGGGCCAAGCACUGCUCUUUUCCUUCUCCUCCAAAGGGACAAGUUAACCUUGUACCCAUUUCUAAAAUUAGCUUGCUUUUUUCUCAUUGAUUUGCAGGAGUUUUUAAUAUAUUCUGACCAUGCAUCCUUUGUCGGUGAUAGGUGUUGGAGGUGCCUUCUCCCAGUCCAUGGCUUAACGUUCCACAGCGGGACCAUCGCUGCAGCGAUUUUAGCCCGCAGAUGCAGCACACCAGAGUACAUGGGCUGCUCAAGUCCUUCAUGAAGACACCCGUAGCCGGACCUUAAAGAAAGGGACCUUUCUUCCUCUCUUUGAGCAUUCUUCCUCCCUCUCCCUCUGUCUUUUGGAUGCAAGUUUCACCAGGUUUGAGCCAAAAACAAGACAAGGAAAACCCUUACAGGUUAGCUCCAGCUCAAGUGGGCUCAGUUACUAACUCCUCCUGCAAUUUUACAUAUGACACCAGAAACCCAGGUUUCUGCUUGACGAGGUCUUUUCUCCAGCCUAGAUGCAUAGGUGUGCUUCAUCAAGCCAGAGAGGUGCCUGUGACUCCAGCAGCUUCCUCAAGUCUAUCAGCACCUUCACUAGGAACUACUUUCCCUUCCCUCUCCAAGAAGGAACGGGAUACCCCAGGCUUUUGAAAGAGCAGGUUACGGCAAACCAAGAGCUGGGAAUAUUUCCUUCAGUUUCUUGCCUUUUUUCCAAGUGUUGAAGUCAAUUGGGAUUACUGAGAGCCCAGGGAUAAUUUUACUCCAAAGGAGGAUUUACUCCAAGGUGAGGUUUAAGAACAGCAAAGGUAUUAUUUUUUGCCAGCAGCCAUAGAACAAUUAGUAUUUGGGUUAUGUUGCUAUUAUUUCAUUUAA